RNAcentral lists this transfer RNA (68 nucleotides) under Diplodiscus nigromaculati. RNAcentral's name for it is "tRNA-Phe". Lineage: Eukaryota; Metazoa; Platyhelminthes; Trematoda; Plagiorchiida; Diplodiscidae. The record is from RNAcentral.
UUUUCUCUAGCUAAAAUCUGUUAUAGUGUUAGUCUGAAGAGCUAAAGUUACACGAGAUGUGGGAAAAG